Molecule: long non-coding RNA, 248 nt
Filed under: Gallus gallus (chicken)
Lineage: Eukaryota; Metazoa; Chordata; Aves; Galliformes; Phasianidae
Source: RNAcentral
GUGCAGGCAGUCUGGGAGUGAAAGGACUGCUCAAAUCGCUGCAAUGAGAGCUGCCUGAAUUCAGUGUGAAGAAAUAACCUGACUUUUCACGAGCUUUGACUCAGUCUUCAAGACCAAAGUGUGAAAUGAGGCAGAAUCAGAGAACUUUAGUUACUUCCUUCAAGAGAAGUGAAAAAUCAAUGAACUGUGUAACUGAUCAUCUGAAGAAGUUCUGAAAAUCCCCCAAACUGGUCAAUGUCUACCACGAG